RNAcentral lists this ribosomal RNA (363 nucleotides) under Triticum aestivum (bread wheat). RNAcentral describes it as "partial small subunit ribosomal RNA". The record is from RNAcentral. Lineage: Eukaryota; Viridiplantae; Streptophyta; Magnoliopsida; Poales; Poaceae.
AUGGCUUCGGAUCACUGGCUCGGCGCCUGCUCCGAGCAGAAGGCGUCCUGCUUCAGGCGGGAUGCGUCCUGCUCUGCCUGCACCCGGACUGCCUGCUCCGCCUGCAUCCGGGCCGCCUCCUCCGACUGCAUCCGAGCCGCGGCUACCCUUGCCGCGGAGGAGACAGCUGCUCCACCACGUCUGAACCUUCCUGUGUCGUCGCCUCCCUCUCUCGCUGUCGGCGUCGCCGCAACUUGCGGGCGACGUUCUCCGCCUGGCAAGUCGCCGCCGCCGACACCAUGUCUCCCACAGACGAGGCGGACUGCGUCUUCGUCGCGACGGUGUGGGUCGGUGUCAGUGUCAAAACCGGCGGAUCUCAGGUAG